This is a long non-coding RNA of Heterocephalus glaber (naked mole-rat), 1644 nucleotides long. The record is from Ensembl. NCBI's taxonomy places the organism in Eukaryota, Metazoa, Chordata, Mammalia, Rodentia, Bathyergidae.
AUGGUCCCUUGGGCAACUAUCUGCAGAGCAAGUGUGCUUUAGACCCCCAGCGGAGCUGCUCCGGUCGGUGGGGGAUGAAGACCACGUCUCCAGGUGGUGACAACAAGCGGUCUUGUUCAGUGUCAGCUCCUGCUGUAUAGGACACACCACGUGUACAUACUCUUCCGCCCUGGCAACACCCUCCAGGCCCACCCGAUGCCCACUGUGCACAGCAGGAAGUCAAGGUCCUCACAGGUUCUGGGUUUGCCCAAGAGGUCUUCACAGCUUGGUAGUCCGCUGGGUAACGGACGGAACAAAACCACGCCGUACACAUCUGGCUUUGGAGCACUCUUCGCCCGGCACCAAACCGGAGUGGGGACAGUUCUGCCUGGGCUUCACUCCUCAUCAGCCCUUCCCGCUGCCUCUGGGCGCUUUGUCCACUGCUUACCGUUUCAACACCAGGACUUGGCCAAACCGGGCCCUGCGAGGCUGAAGGGAUAGGGGACCUGGGGCCUGUUAAACCUGCUACCGUGAGUCUGACGGUGUAAUUGCCAGUUCCCUGUGAUUGGCACAUGUGAGACACAGCAGCUAAGCACACAGUAAUUCUACUUGAGUAAUGUGAGCACUGGAUCUGUCCCCUGGAAUCUCUCCCAUCCCUACUGAGGCUGGAAUCCACCUGCCGGACUGCCUCGUCUACAUGUUUACUUGUCAUCUCGGGGUGUGGAGCUCCCUGCUCCUCACAGAGCACCUUUUGGGGCCGAAAUCUCACUCGGGUCCUCGGAUCUCGCUUAACGUGGAUGUCAGCUCAGUGCAGGAGUGUGAAGACUUGGAGGAGGAUCCAAGUCUGAGAGUGUUCUCACCAGAAAAACCAUAUGAAGAGGAAUGCCUUUCUUUUCCUGUGUGGCUUUGCUUAAGCAGUGGAGAGCUACCAUCAACAUUUGGUUCUCACGUUGACCCUCUGUUCCAGCUAAUGGGUCACAAAUUUAAUUAAACACACGUUAACAGUGGGAUCUUCUGCUGUCAGAACUUGGGGCUUUUAAAGCUGUUCGGGGCAGGCCCACUGCCGGUAUAAGACCUUGCCCUACUUAGGGAGGCCCUGGAGAGGCAGCAUUAUGCCAAUUUUAUAGGAGAAAAGCUGAGCCAGACGCACUGCAUAUCUCUCCCCACAAAGAGAACCAAGGCUGAGGACUUCUUCUCACCUCCCGAGAGACCUCGGAGGCAGUGGAAGCGAGAGACAUUCCAGGCCAGUGUUUGUUAGAACUCGAGAGCUUACUUCAUUGGUCCCGGCCGACUUCUGUGAACACCGGGCAGUAACCCACGGCGUAGUGUCUCGUCCCUCUGAUUUUGAGGUAAGGAGGAAGCCGAGGCGUGCAGAUGCUGCCAGCUGACUUGCCCUUCACCAUGAAGCCAGCGGGAGACAGACCUGGGAUGUGAACGAGGCACCGGGCUCCUGAGCCUGACCACCACUUCCGCACUGAACCUUUCUGCUUCCUGUGCAUUCAACUUGUGUAUAUCUGGAACAGAAGGAAGAGCAGCUAUGGCUCUUUCAGAGAGGCCUGAGGCUGCCUGGCACUUGUGGUCCACUUGGAGCAGGCCCGAGGCCCAGCUGUGCUCGUGUGGGGGUCAGCGCCAGGGGUGCGGCCAUCGCAGUGUGAGUGAGGCUGG